GACGAACGCUGGCGGCGUGCCUAAUACAUGCAAGUUGAGCGCUGAAGGUUGGUACUUGUCCCGACUGGAUGAGCAGCGAACGGGUGAGUAAUGCGUGGGGAAUCUGCCUUUGAGCGGGGGACAACAUUUGGAAACGAAUGAUAACACCGCAUAAAAACUUUAAACACAAGUUUUAUGUUUGAAAGAUCCAAUUGCAUCACUCAAAGAUGAUCCCGCGUUGUAUUAGCUAGUUGGUGAGGUAAAGGCUCACCAAGGCGAUGAUACAUAGCCGACCUUAGAGGGUUAUCGAGCACAUUGGGACUGAGACACGGCCCAACCUCCUACGGGAGGCAGCAGUAGGGAAUCUUCGGCAAUGGACGAAAGUCUGACCGAGCAACGCCGCGGGAGUGAAGGAGGUUUUCGGAUCGUAAAACUCUGUUGGUAGAGAAGAACGUUGGUGAGAGUAGAAAGCUCAUCAAGUGACGGUAACUACCCAGAAAGGGACGGCUAACUACGUG
This 497-nucleotide ribosomal RNA is filed under the name uncultured bacterium. RNAcentral's name for it is "partial 16S ribosomal RNA". It matches the Rfam family "Bacterial small subunit ribosomal RNA", at positions 28 to 507 of the family's 1533-position model. The record is from RNAcentral.